Molecule: non-coding RNA, 80 nt
Filed under: unclassified sequences
Also listed under: 1 other name
Description: IMES-4 RNA
Rfam family: IMES-4 RNA motif
Source: RNAcentral
AUUAUUUCACGCAAAGGAAAUAAUUGGAUUAAUUAAAGGAAACUUUAUUUAAUUCAUAUCGGGAGGAAAUGCACGAUAUA